AGCGGCGGACGGGUGAGUAACACGUGGGUAACCUGCCCAAGAGACUGGGAUAACACCUGGAAACAGAUGCUAAUACCGGAUAACAACACUAGACGCAUGUCUAGAGCUUGAAAGAUGGUUCUGCUAUCACUCUUGGAUGGACCUGCGGUGCAUUAGCUAGUUGGUAAGGUAACGGCUUACCAAGGCAAUGAUGCAUAGCCGAGUUGAGAGACUGAUCGGCCACAUUGGGACUGAGACACGGCCCAAACUCCUACGGGAGGCAGCAGUAGGGAAUCUUCCACAAUGGACGAAAGUCUGAUGGAGCAACGCCGCGUGAGUGAAGAAGGGUUUCGGCUCGUAAAGCUCUGUUGGUAGUGAAGAAAGAUAGAGGUUGUAACUGGCCUUUAUUUGACGGUAAUUACUUAGAAAGUCACGGCUAACUACGUGCCAGCAGCCGCGGUAAUACGUAGGUGGCAAGCGUUGUCCGGAUUUAUUGGGCGUAAAGCGAGUGCAGGCGGUUCAAUAAGUCUGAUGUGAAAGCCUUCGGCUCAACCGGAGAAUUGCAUCAGAAACUGUUGAACUUGAGUGCAGAAGAGGAGAGUGGAACUCCAUGUGUAGCGGUGGAAUGCGUAGAUAUAUGGAAGAACACCAGUGGCGAAGGCGGCUCUCUGGUCUGCAACUGACGCUGAGGCUCGAAAGCAUGGGUAGCGAACAGGAUUAGAUACCCUGGUAGUCCAUGCCGUAAACGAUGAGUGCUAAGUGU
RNAcentral lists this ribosomal RNA (742 nucleotides) under uncultured bacterium. RNAcentral's name for it is "bacterial SSU rRNA". It matches the Rfam family "Bacterial small subunit ribosomal RNA", at positions 94 to 823 of the family's 1533-position model. The record is from RNAcentral.